Molecule: long non-coding RNA, 426 nt
Filed under: Equus asinus (donkey)
Lineage: Eukaryota; Metazoa; Chordata; Mammalia; Perissodactyla; Equidae
Description: lncRNA (ENSEASG00005033472.1)
Source: RNAcentral
AGGAGCUGCAGUGACGGCGCCUCUGAAAUAUUAAUGAGGCUGUUCUCUGCCUCGGCUCCUUCCCCUGGGCUCCCUCCCUCCCUCCCUGGCUGAAUGCAGGCCUGUCCUUGGAGCCCUCCUUUCCCCUACCCGGUGGUCGCCAAGGUACCCUCAGGGAAGCAGAGACACCCUGUGCGCCAAGCCUUGACCUGGCGCCCAGCUGGCCCUAUCCAUGGGUGGGCCUGCUCCCUGGACCCCCACGCAGCCCUGCGCCUGAAACCGUGAGCUGCAGAGGUGGCGCCAGAAGAUUGCCAGCACUGCUGCUGGGGACUGAUAGCAUGCCCGCCGCACAGGGCGAGUCUGAACCAGGUAUCUGUGCUUAGCUUCUUCCCCGUCGCCUCUGCCACGCCUCACCCCGGCACUGGGACCUCAGGUAGCCACCUGCCC